This is a long non-coding RNA of Parus major (Great Tit), 2591 nucleotides long. RefSeq lists it as uncharacterized. NCBI's taxonomy places the organism in Eukaryota, Metazoa, Chordata, Aves, Passeriformes, Paridae. The record is from RefSeq and is a predicted model, not a curated record. The transcript is spliced from 3 exons.
GAGAGCUCCUCUGUAAGCCAGGUUGACUAAAUUGGUCUCAGUUAAUUUGGAAAUUCACUCUUCCCUAUGUCCAUGGGAAGUACCUCAGCCACCUGAUACAUCUUAGCAUUCCCCUUGCCCUUUUCACCUGGCUGUGUAAUCACUGUGGCACCACAGACCCAUCUCAUGCUGGAGCAGAGCAGUCCCUCACCUCUUCCCAUCCCAGAACUGUACUUUCAAGGACAUCCAUUCCUCUCAGUACCUUAUCCCAGUUCUCCUCUCUGCUGAAGAGAGUUUGGGGCAUCAGCACAUUUUUCUCUUUUCUGCCAAGAUCAUUAAUAGGAAUAUUAAGUUCUGUGCCUGACCCUUGAGGAAGACCCCAGAAAAUGCCUCCAGCAAGCUAAUACUAUCUAUGAAAAAUUGUGAAAAUCCCGAUUGCUGCCUGAGAAACUGAAGCAUCACUUCUGUCUGUGUGACAUCCUCUCUCCACGUGCCUCCCAGCCAGCAGAGCAAAGCACUGCUGAAGUUUCUGCAGCCAGACUCUAAGAGCCCGUGUGCUGGAUGGGCUGGACACAUCAGCUCUGUCUCCAGGUGUGGGAUCACCGCCCCCAUCUCUGCCAAGCCAGCAGGAAAGGAUUGGCUCCAGCUCUUAACCCCCUGGGAUGUUAGAGCAUCUCCUCAAGCUCUGCUUUGCAAGCCUGGAGGUGCAAUCCCGAAUGUUACCCCUGCCUGGGGUUGUAGCCGCUCCAUCAAAGCCUCCUGGCCACGUCGGUGUUGUCGCAGCUCCAGAAGCUCCUGGAGGGGCAGGUGACCGAGCCACCAGCUGUGUCCCCUGGGAAGUGACAAGGGAGGCUGCAGGGUGGCCUUGCACAUGUUCAGGGUGCCUGGGGACAGCAGAGAUGUACUCAGGGUGCUGUCGUGGGUCCUGUGGGACACCUGUGUCCGCCCAGAGCUGCAGCAGGAGAGAGGCUGAUACCCCAGCACCACACACAUCCCCAAAAUGGACAGGCAAUGGAGCCUGGGGGCCUUGGCUGUGGAUCUGAAGUUCCCUGUUUGUAUCAGGACUGUAUUUUGUCUUACUGGUUCAUGUCUUGUUAAAUGGCUGAGGGAUGUUAUAAGCAUGUGACUCAUCUGUUAUUGCAUAUAGAUAAUUAUAGCACUUCUAAGCAACCUAUUGGACACUCUAGCCAGACCAUUAAAUAAUUGCUCAUUCUUUAUAAACAUUGUUUUGACAUGAGGUGGGUCCAGCAGAGGAAACAGAAAUGUGAGCCAGUCCUCCAGGGAUCUCUCUAAUGCCUAAUUGCUGUGCUGUGUCCCUAAUAUUUUUUCCUGAGCUGGGAAAUCCAUCUUUUUGACUAGAAGUCUUUAUUUUGAAGUGUUUGGGGUUUUUACCUACUUAUUGAAUGAUUCAGCCAGACAGUUUCCAAUCUGCAUGUUCUGCACCGUGCUGAAGUUACACCACCCUUGACACAUAAUGAAAAUAUUGCACACCAACAAGCCAGCAGCUGUGCAAGUCAAACUGGUUGUCUCAGUGUUGUUGUCAGCUGAAAUCCCAAUCUAAUAAUAAACCUGGAAGCUGUUGACAGGAGUAGUUUCCAUGCUGUCUGGCACUCACUGUGGAGCAGGGGAAUGGCACGGAGCAAAGCUGUCCCCAGAAGCCUGAGUGGCCUGUGGGGACAGUGUUGGCAGCCCUGCAAAGCAAAGUGGCUUUGAUGUCUCCAUGGAUGGAAAAGAUGCUGAUCAGCCUUUAGUCUGGGCUGAGGGAAGUGGUUUCUCUCUUCCCCUUUGCACUCCAGGAGGUACAGAAUUUUAGGAGAUAAAUUUGGGAUGAAUGCCUACCAAAAAUAAACAGUUGGAAGGCGGAUUGGGUGCAUCCUGGUAAUGAAAAGGAAAUUCAGGUGCAGUGGUAAACUUGGUGAGCUUGGCCUUCAGCACUGGAUGUAAAAUUGAAGAUCUACAUGAAAUCACCUCAAACAUGUGUGUGAUGUGAGAGACUGGGAUUGUUCAAGGGAACAAUUGCCUAGGGAGCCCAGGACUGAACUCUGUUAAUGAACCCUUAAUGCCGUUCCCUCAGUGUCCUCAGGCAUUUAUUGUAUCCCAGACAUUUCUGCGCUCUCUUAAAACUUCCAUCUCUUGCAGAUGAUUGCAGGGCCCAUGAAUAUUCUGUAUUAGAUCCCAAGUGAGAAGUACACCAGUGGGACAAGGAUUAACACAGCAGUUUCGGUCUGAAGACAUUUGGAUGUGGUGCCACAUGGAGAUGAAAAACUCACUGUGUGGUGGCAGCAGUCUGGGCCCUCCCUGGUCCCCCACCUCUCCCCCUGCAGAUUGAGAGGUGUUUUCUAUUGAGUUCAUAAAAGAAACACCACACAGAAUCCCCUGGCCGUGGCAAUAGAUUCAAUCAGUCUCAGUCCAUUAGCUUAACUAAUCAAUAGCUGUAAGUGCCAUAAUGCUGCCUCCUACUUCAUCACAAAAGCUGAAAACUUACAGGAGGCCACGUGUAAUUACGGGCACUCCCUCCAUUAACUUCAGGAAAAUUAAACAGCCAAUAUUUGGGUGUCUGGCAGGUUACUUCUCUCAGGAAAGCUGGCACAUCCAACUCUAACAGAGCUGAU